This is a long non-coding RNA of Oncorhynchus mykiss (rainbow trout), 1201 nucleotides long. RefSeq lists it as uncharacterized. NCBI's taxonomy places the organism in Eukaryota, Metazoa, Chordata, Actinopteri, Salmoniformes, Salmonidae. The record is from RefSeq and is a predicted model, not a curated record.
CCCAGCUGACACGGCUCCUCAUCAACAAGCGAGCCAAUUGAGGCCAACAUGACGUGGAGCCCUCCUCCCUCCUCUUCCCUGCUCUCCGCAGUAAAACAAUUAAGCUGUUUACUGGGUGAGGGAUAUCCGUCGAGCUACCCCGCAAAUUGGUCUCCAGUGAGGGGCCCAUUCCCCGGCAGUGCGGCCGGACAGCUGGAGGUGCUGGCGGAAGCCGAUGUGCUCGGACCAUCUGGAAAAAGUAGCAGGAUUCCAAGGCUGACGACGAGUGAUGUAAGCAGUUCCCUCUCUUCUGCAGUGAUGUAAGCAGUUCCCUCUCUUCUGCAGUGAUGUAAGCAGUUCCCUCUCUUCUGCAGUGAUGUAAGCAGUUCCCUCUCUUCUCCAGUGAUGUAAGCAGUUCCCUCUCUUCUCCAGUGAUGUAAGCAGUUCCCUCUCUUCUGCAGUGAUGUAAGCAGUUCCCUCUCUUCUGCAGUGAUCCAUCAUUCCUUGCCUGUCGUACCUCAACUUUGGAGUUCAUCUACUUUAUACCAAUGGAUCUAUCGAGUGCUGGAGAUUUCAAGUUGAAGAUUCUUAGGCUGAGUCAUCGUUUCCACAUGUACAGUAAUUGAUCCCCCUUCCCAGCAAGGAGUGCUGUACAAGCACCUUCUCAUUAUGUGGGUUGACUAUCUUCACACGCUGACGAGCAGUGCAGGUAAUUGAACCACCAUCCUGUUUAUAUGGAGUUUCAAACAAAGUUGGGUGAGGGAUUUGCAGACCUCGUGCAAUCAAUCACAGGUUAAUGUGGUUUCGGCUCUUACCAUCACUUUUAUUCUGUCUUCAGUCACCUUUUCACCUUUCCCUCUGCUCCUUCCCCCAUCUUCUAUGUACACCAUGCUAGCAGUCAACAGAAAGUCAUUAAAAUCACAUUUCCUAAGAAUGCCUUGUGCAUAAAGUCAAUACUACAUAAUUGGUUACAAAUGCAGGAUAUGAAGUGCCUAAUAUAGGUGUCAAUUGAAAAGUGUGUCAAAAAAGGUUGUAUGACUUAAGAAAUUAGAUGCAGCAGAAUUUCCCUUUCCUCAAUGAAUGUUCUGCAUUUCUGAACCAAGGCCUUUGCUUGCACCCUAUCGAAUUGCCAUCAAAACCAAAAAAGGUUACUGGUAUGAUAAAAAAGGUAUUGUAUCAGACCCAUGCUGGUUUUAUGUUUUUAUCUCAUAAUAUGUACAGU